RNAcentral lists this long non-coding RNA (206 nucleotides) under Hordeum vulgare. RNAcentral describes it as "long non-coding RNA (HVUL_LNC000593)". The record is from RNAcentral. Lineage: Eukaryota; Viridiplantae; Streptophyta; Magnoliopsida; Poales; Poaceae.
CAGGUCAACGCCCCUGCUCCAUCAAGCGUACCGACUGUUCCAUGCUUCCCCGACUAUGGCUGCCUGAAUCAACUUGGGAUUCAUGCUCACCUACAUGUGAUCCUGUAGUUGCCUUGCAAAACACAUGGUUAAGUGCUCCUGAAGGGUAUGACCAAUGAAGCGGCACAAAAGUGCCUCGGUUAACUCGAUUUAUCAUGAUGCCAUAU